GGGGAUGUGGCUCAGUGGUGGAGCGCUCGCCUAGCAUGUGUGAGAUCCUGGGUUCCAUCCUCAGCACCACA
RNAcentral lists this transfer RNA (71 nucleotides) under Marmota monax (woodchuck). Its description in RNAcentral is "tRNA.Ala". It matches the Rfam family "tRNA". Rfam says of the family: Transfer RNA (tRNA) molecules are approximately 80 nucleotides in length. Their secondary structure includes four short double-helical elements and three loops (D, anti-codon, and T loops). Lineage: Eukaryota; Metazoa; Chordata; Mammalia; Rodentia; Sciuridae. The record is from RNAcentral.